RNAcentral lists this ribosomal RNA (300 nucleotides) under Florenciella parvula. RNAcentral's name for it is "partial Bacterial large subunit ribosomal RNA". It matches the Rfam family "Bacterial large subunit ribosomal RNA", at positions 841 to 1135 of the family's 2925-position model. Lineage: Eukaryota; Dictyochophyceae; Florenciellales. The record is from RNAcentral.
GGAGAUAGCUCGUACUCCCCGAAAGGCAUUUAGGUGCCGCGUCGGAUGGUCACCGUGAGAGGUAGAGCGACCGAUAGGACAAGAGGGCUUCACCGCCUAUCGAGUCCUGACGAACUCCGAAUGCUCACGGUCUGCAGUCCGGCAGUAAGGGGGCGGGUGCUAAGGUCCGUCCCCGAGAGGAGAAGAAUCCAGACCGCCGUCUAAGGUCCCGGAGUUCUGCCUGAGUUAGUCUAACGAAGUCUGGUCCCUAUGACAGCUAGGAUGUUGGCUUGGAAUCAGCCAUUCAUUCAAAGAGUGCGU